Molecule: ribosomal RNA, 787 nt
Filed under: uncultured fungus
Lineage: Eukaryota; Fungi
Description: eukaryotic LSU rRNA
Rfam family: Eukaryotic large subunit ribosomal RNA
Source: RNAcentral
CCCGCUGAACUUAAGCAUAUCAGUAGAGCGGAGGAAAAGAAACUAACGAGGAUUCCCUCAGUAACGGCGAGUGAACGGGCAAGAGCCCAGCGCUAAAUCCUGUUGCUCUCACGGGCAACGGGAGGUGUAACGUAUAGUAGGCGAAUUUCCUUGAUGGCUGUCGACUUAAAUUCUCCUUGACUGGGGUUCCAGAGAAGGUGAAAGGCCUGUUCAGUCGAUGGCCGUCUUGGAUUGCGUUCUAAUAGGAGUCGGGUUGUUUGUGAACGCAGCACAAAAUGGGUGGUAAACUUCAUUCUAAGGCUAAAUACGGCCGGGAAACCGAUAGCAAACAAGUACCGUGAGGGAAAGUUGAAAAGUACUUUGAAGAGAGAGUUCAAGAGGACGUGAAACCGGUAGGAUGGAAACGGAUAGAGCCAACGAACAAGCCCGUAUUCAGCUAGUCGGCUGCGUGCGGCAUGCCUGUGUGCUCGUUCAGAGUGCAUGGGUGUGUGCGGUAUGCGGUCGGCUAGUGAAUUUGCGGGUGAUGUGCGCUGAGGCGUGUGGCGGAGUCCUGCAAACUGUCUGGAGAGGCCUCGCCUUCGGGCUUGAAACCUACAGGCGGGGAGUCGGGUUUCUGCUGCAUGUAGACGAAGCGACUAGGUGCAAACGCGCUGUCGUGCUACCGGGCUAGCUGCUUGGCCGGUCGCAUGCGAAUAGGUCUUGUUGGUUGGUCUUGGUGGUACGGCAGUGCCCUGGUCGACCCUCGGUGUAAAAGUUGGUCAUCUCUCCGACCCGUCUUGAAACACGG